CCUACGGGUGGCAGCAGUGAGGAAUAUUGGUCAAUGGGCGCGAGCCUGAACCAGCCAAGUCGCGUGAGGGAUGACUGCCCUACGGGUUGUAAACUUCUUUUAUCAGGGAGUAACGUGAGGCACGUGUGCCUCUUUGUAUGUAAUUUGUAAAUAAGGAUCGGCUAACUCCGUUCCAGCCGCCGACGGAAUACCGAGGAUCCGAGGGUUUUCCGGAUUUAUUGGGUUUAAAGGGAGCGGAGGUGGGUUGUUAAGUCAGUUGGGAAAGUUUGCGGCUUAACCCCAUAAUCGCCAUUGAUACUGGCGGCCUUGAGUACAGGUGAGGUAGGCGGAAUGCGUGGUGUAGCGGUGAAAUGCAUAGAUAUCACGCAGAACCCCGAUUGCGAAGGCAGCAUGC
This 394-nucleotide ribosomal RNA is filed under the name uncultured bacterium. RNAcentral's name for it is "partial 16S ribosomal RNA". It matches the Rfam family "Bacterial small subunit ribosomal RNA", at positions 338 to 729 of the family's 1533-position model. The record is from RNAcentral.